AACGAACGCUGGCGGCAGGCCUAACACAUGCAAGUCGAGCGAGGACUUCGGUUCUAGCGGCGGACGGGUGAGUAACGCGUGGGAAUGUGCCCUUCUCUACGGAAUAGCCCUGGGAAACUGGGAGUAAUACCGUAUACGCCCUUUUGUGGAAAGAUUUAUCGGAGAAGGAUCAGCCCGCGUUGGAUUAGUUUGUUGGUUGGGUAAUGGCCUACCAAGCCGACGAUACAUAGAUGGUUUGAGAGGAUGAUCAGCCACACUGGGACUGAGACACGGCCCAGACUCCUACGGGAGGCAGCAGUGGGGAAUAUUAGAAAAUGGGGGCAACCAUGAAAGAGCCAUGACGGGUGAGUGAUGAAGGCCUUAGGGUAGUAAAGCUCUUUCAGCUGGGAAGAUAAUGACGGUACCAGAAGAAGAAGCCACGGCUAACUACGUG
This 433-nucleotide ribosomal RNA is filed under the name uncultured bacterium. RNAcentral describes it as "partial 16S ribosomal RNA". It matches the Rfam family "Bacterial small subunit ribosomal RNA", at positions 29 to 507 of the family's 1533-position model. The record is from RNAcentral.